GGCAUUGACCUGACCCCAACACUAGAUUCUCCUUUUCUUUCUACCGCUAAAGGAGAAAUUUUACGAUUAAUAGCAGGGCAUGCGUUUCUAGUUGCAGGGAGGAUGCCACACGGACAGAAUGGGAAAAUCCAUCAAGAAGCGUUCCUUGGUGAUCUCGGCACACGCAAGCUACUGCUUCUUCUUCCCUUCCCAAUGUGCCCCAAGAGCUAGUGAUUCUCGAGCUUACAAGAGCUAUCCACAGUAGAUGUCAAAUUUGGGCGUUGAUUUCUAAAUAUGAAAUGGUUUUGUGCCUUCCAUACUUGCCAAGAACUGAGGCUACGACGUCCAGAUCAGGUGAGUUAUCUCGACUUUCUGUCAGAUCUGCUAACCAAGCUUCUAUUCUUGAUAAUCCUUGUGAUGGAAUAUUUAUUUUGAGCUGUGGGUGUGCCCAGACUCUGUUUAUCCAUGGGCAUAAUAGGAAAAUGUGUUUGAUUGUUUAUGAGACUUCUUCAUUGCGCAGUGCGUAAAACAAAACAAGUACGAUCUUUCUUGAUAGACAUUUUCCUUGGUGGGUAUUUGGCAUAGGGAUCACAUAAAAAUUCUUACUUCAGGAACAGUUUUCAAGUUCCAAAUUCUUCUCCAUAGGCUGCGGGGCACUUGAUAGGAAGAUAAUGCUAAAUCUUGACUUAUGUUGUGUUCAAGUGCUCUUAUGCUAUUGUAUCCAUUCUUUGCAAAAUACUUGCCUCACUAAGUCCCUGUCCAUAUAAAUUGGUCGAUUGCUAUGUGGGGUCUAACUGGGAUUGAAAGAAUUUCAUUAACUAUUUGAGCAUGAAAGCGUUCCUUUUUUCUUUUUUUGGUCAAAAGGAAACAUUAUAUUCAUAUAAUCGGAAUAUUACAUUUUGCCGCAAGGGCAUCAGCAUACACAAGAUCCAUCAAAAGGUAGGGUGGGAAGAUAUUCCAAUUUUGGGCCAAAGUUUCUACUCGAUGGGCCUUAGCGGCCCAGUCGGCUACUGUAUUGGCUUCUCUUCGACACAACUGCAUUGUCAAAUUAGGGAAAAGGGACAUCGAAUCGACAGCUUCCGUGAGCAAGGAAAGGAGUUCCCAUGGCGGCGAUCUCCCACCUGUGACGGCGUCGACAACGGUGCUACAGUCGGAUUCAAUCACGAGUCGUGCCUGAUGCAGACCUUGUCAUAGCAAAUGUUGGAUUGUGAAAGAGAAGGCCUGGAACUCCGCAACCAGAGCUUAUGCGGCUGGAAAUCUGCUGGUAUAGAUAUCGGUGCCCAGAUUGGGUGGUCGCCAGAGGUGGGUAGGGAUCUGGUUUGCAAUAGCUUGUCUCGAAGAGGAAGGAGAAGAGAUCUGGUAAAGUCGAGUCUCUAUCACAGUAGCCUCUACUGCAAGGGAUGGAUCCAGCUGUUGAUUGCGGAAUAUGAAACCAUUCCGCAUUUUCCAGAUCUGCCAACAAAUGUUCACUAUUACUUCCAAAGAAGGUGAGUUGUUUGUCGAUACAAUUUUUGUUGCUAACCAUGCGUCUAUUCGAUGGAUUUGGUGAGGUUGUAUGUCGAUGUUGAUUUGUGGAUGAGCCCAUAUUGGUCGAGUCCAUGAACAAAGUAGGAACAGAUGCUCCAAAGAUUCUGGGGUUUGCUGGUGACAUAGCUAACAGUAGGGAUCGGUUAUGAUUUGUCAACGAAACAAAUUUUCUUUGGAAGCUACUUCAUUUUGACA
Molecule: long non-coding RNA, 1701 nt
Organism: Eucalyptus grandis
Lineage: Eukaryota; Viridiplantae; Streptophyta; Magnoliopsida; Myrtales; Myrtaceae
Exons: 3
Source: RefSeq, a predicted model, not a curated record